UUCGUGUCAAGCAGUGUGUAGGUUAAACUUGCACUUCCAAAAUAUAUGUUAUUACUUUGCUUUGAUACCGUGUUUUUCAGUGAAAACAACUCAAAAUCUAGACCUAAAUACAAUUCUAUUUUUUUUCUUUUCACAGAGCUCAUUCGUGGACUGCUUGAUUAUUGAUCAGGCUUGAGCGUCGAUGUGACACCACAGUCUCUGACCACAGGGACUAGAUCUACUUCACUGCUAGCAUCGCCAACAUCAGGACGGAGAUUUGUCACGAAAGUGACAGCACCGCCUGAGGACAAGUGUAGUAUUCCCCUUCCAGGAAAAGCUCAAUUGCGAUCAUCGGACAAUAGACUAAUCUCCCACGCCGCCACAGAACUCGGGAGAGUGUCAAGUUUCUGGGAUUGAUUCUGAUUGCAGUUUUCAAAUUGAGGUACGUACCAUCUUUAUUUACGUAAAUCUUUAUACAUUGUACAUUGCUUUUGAACUGGCUUCUGUAGUGUAGUGAUUAUAUAGCGCUUCGCCGCCCCACGCAGAAGACCCGAGUUCGAUUCCCGUGUGGGGUAAGUUUUAUCGAAUAUCCCGGUCUUUCUGAUGGGACGUUGUAUCCCUCUCAACCCACAUUGGCUCUGACAAUCAGGGAUGAUGCCUGCCUCCCAUAUUAUCUAAAUUGUAUUGAUGAGGGCAUUAUGAUAUAAACAUCUGCAAUAAAAUACAUACAUACAUAUUUACAUUUCUUUUGCGGGAGAUUUAUGCUGUUAGUGUGUGUUCUUUCUACAUCAGCCAUACCCAAACAAAAUCGAUCAAUAAUAGAAUUUUGCUUUCGUUACCACAUACUUUGUGUU
Long non-coding RNA from Aplysia californica (California sea hare), 833 nucleotides. RefSeq lists it as uncharacterized. The record is from RefSeq and is a predicted model, not a curated record. NCBI's taxonomy places the organism in Eukaryota, Metazoa, Mollusca, Gastropoda, Aplysiida, Aplysiidae. The transcript is spliced from 3 exons.